AAACAGCCUUGAUAAUUUACACCACUGGACAGUGACUAAGACUUUCCACAUGAAGACAGUAUCAUGCUAAGCAGUAUGGCCGGGAUUCAGUGGCUUCUAGCAGCAGUUCAGCUGAGAUUCAUUCUGGAUGAGGACUCAGAGGCUUCCAGUCUGAGGAAACAGGACCAGCUGAGGAACUGGCGAGAUGAUUUUGGUCCAUCAUCGUGGAUGGCAUUGCAGAGCAUGUGAAUUCAAGGCAGCAGGAUACAUGACAGAAACUGUGUACAAGACAACAAGGACAAAGAAAGCACAAGGAACUAGAAGCCAUCUAGAACCUUCAAAAGACAAGCCCUAAUGACAUCCUGGCACCCAC
Molecule: long non-coding RNA, 352 nt
Organism: Peromyscus eremicus (cactus mouse)
Lineage: Eukaryota; Metazoa; Chordata; Mammalia; Rodentia; Cricetidae
Exons: 3
Source: RefSeq, a predicted model, not a curated record